This 592-nucleotide ribosomal RNA is filed under the name uncultured Alphaproteobacteria bacterium. RNAcentral's name for it is "partial 16S ribosomal RNA". Lineage: Bacteria; Pseudomonadati; Pseudomonadota; Alphaproteobacteria. The record is from RNAcentral.
UUGGGAGCUCUCCCAUAUGGUCGACCUGCAGGCGGCCGCGAAUUCACUAGUGAUUGUAUUACCGCGGCUGCUGGCACGGAGUUAGCCGGAGCUUAUUCUCCCGGUACUGUCAUUAUCAUCCCGGGUAAAAGAGCUUUACGACCCUAAGGCCUUCAUCACUCACGCGGCAUUGCUGGAUCAGGCUUGCGCCCAUUGUCCAAUAUUCCCCACUGCUGCCUCCCGUAGGAGUCUGGGCCGUGUCUCAGUCCCAGUGUGGCUGGUCAUCCUCUCAGACCAGCUACGGAUCGUCGCCUUGGUAGGCUUUUACCCCACCAACUAGCUAAUCCGACGUAGGCUCACCCCAGAGCGCAAGGCCUUUCGGUCCCCUGCUUUUGAUCUCUCGAUAUCAUGUGGUAUUAGCCCGAGUUUCCUCGGGUUAUCCCACGCUCCAGGACAGAUUCCUACGUGUUACUCACCCGUCCGCCACUCGCCACCCCAUAAAGACCGAAAUCUUUACUGUGCUGCCGUUCGACUUGCAUGUGUUAGGCAUGCCGCCAGCGUUCAAUCUGAGCCAUGAUCAAACUCUAAUCGAAUUCCCGCGGCCGCCAUGGCG